This 485-nucleotide ribosomal RNA is filed under the name uncultured bacterium. Its description in RNAcentral is "partial 16S ribosomal RNA". It matches the Rfam family "Bacterial small subunit ribosomal RNA", at positions 899 to 1397 of the family's 1533-position model. The record is from RNAcentral.
ACUCAAAUGAAUUGACGGGGACCCACACAAGCAGUGGAUCAUGUGGUUUAAUUCGACAAUAAACGAGGGACCUUACCCAGGCUUGACAUCCCGAGAAGUCCGAUGAAAGUUGGAUGUGCCCGCAAGGGAACUCGGUGACAGGCGCUGCAUGGUUGUCGUCAGCUCGUGCCUUGAGGUGUUCGGUUAAGUCCGUUAACGAGCGCAACCCAUGUCGUUAGUUAUUAUGUCUAACGAGACUGCCUGAGUUAAUCAGGAGGAAGGUGUGGAUGACGUCAAAUCAGCAUGGCCCUUAUGCCUGGGGCCACACACAUGAUACAAUGGUCGGUACAAAGAGUCGCAAUACAGCAAUGUGGAGCCAAUCUUAAAAGCCGAUCUCAGUCCGGAUUGGGGGCUGCAACUCGCCCUCAUGAAGUUGGAAUUGCUAGUAAUCGUGAAUCAGACAUGUCACGGUGAAUCUGUUCCUGGGUCUUGUACACACCGCCCGU